UGGGGAAUCUUGCACAAUGGGGGAAACCCUGAUGCAGCGACGCCGCGUGAGCGAUGAAGGUUUUCGAAUCGUAAAGCUCUGUCCUAUGGGAAGAUAAUGACGGUACCAUGGGAGGAAGCCCCGGCUAACUACGUGCCAGCAGCCGCGGUAAUACGUAGGGGGCGAGCGUUGUCCGGAAUUACUGGGCGUAAAGGGUUCGCAGGCGGCAUGGCAAGUCCGAUGUAAAAGGCGAAGGCUCAACCUUCGUAAGCAUCGGAAUCUGUCAAGCUUGAGUGAAGGAGAGGCAAGUGGAAUUCCUAGUGUAGCGGUGGAAUGCGUAGAUAUUAGGAGGAAUACCGGUGGCGAAGGCGACUUGCUGGACUUCAACUGACGCUGAGGAACGAAAGCGUGGGUAGCAAACAGG
Molecule: ribosomal RNA, 403 nt
Filed under: Fusobacteriota bacterium
Lineage: Bacteria; Fusobacteriati; Fusobacteriota
Description: Fusobacteria bacterium partial 16S ribosomal RNA
Rfam family: Bacterial small subunit ribosomal RNA
Source: RNAcentral